UACAGAGGUCUCAAGCGUUGUUCGGAUUCAUUGGGCGUAAAGGGUGCGUAGGUGGUGACGCAAGUCUGGUGUGAAAUCUCGGAGCUCAACUCCGAAAUUGCACCGGAUACUGCGUGACUCGAGGACUGUAGAGGAGAUCGGAAUUCACGGUGUAGCAGUGAAAUGCGUAGAUAUCGUGAGGAGGACCAGUUGCGAAGGCGGAUCUCUGGGCAGUUCCUGACACUGAGGCACGAAGGCCAGGGGAGCAAACGGG
Molecule: ribosomal RNA, 253 nt
Filed under: uncultured bacterium
Lineage: Bacteria
Description: partial 16S ribosomal RNA
Rfam family: Bacterial small subunit ribosomal RNA
Source: RNAcentral